GUACAUCCAGAGAACUUAGCAGAGAUGCUUUGGUGCCUUCGGGAACUCUGAGACAGGUGCUGCAUGGCUGUCGUCAGCUCGUGUUGUGAAAUGUUGGGUUAAGUCCCGNAACGAGCGCAACCCUUAUCCUUUGUUGCCAGCGGUUCGGCCGGGAACUCAAAGGAGACUGCCGGUGAUAAACCGGAGGAAGGUGGGAUGACGUCAAGUCAUCAUGGCCCUUACGGCCAGGGCUACACACGUGCUACAAUGGCGCAUACAAAGAGAAGCGACCUCGCGAGAGCAAGCGGACCUCAUAAAGUGCGUCGUAGUCCGGAUUGGAGUCUGCAACUCGACUCCAUGAAGUCGGAAUCGCUAGUAAUCGUAGAUCAGAAUGCUACGGUGAAUACGUUCCCGGGCCUUGUACACACCGCCCGUCACACCAUGGGAGUGGGUUGCAAAAGAAGUAGGUAGCUUAACCUUCGGGAGGGCGCUUACCACUUUGUGAUUCAUGACUGGGGUGAAGUCGUAACAAGGUAGGCGUAGCGAG
Molecule: ribosomal RNA, 526 nt
Filed under: uncultured bacterium
Lineage: Bacteria
Description: bacterial SSU rRNA
Rfam family: Bacterial small subunit ribosomal RNA
Source: RNAcentral